Molecule: RNA transcript, 4636 nt
Organism: Nilaparvata lugens (brown planthopper)
Lineage: Eukaryota; Metazoa; Arthropoda; Insecta; Hemiptera; Delphacidae
Gene: haf
Gene name: leucine-rich repeat and fibronectin type III domain-containing protein 1-like protein
Exons: 8
Source: RefSeq, a predicted model, not a curated record
GCAGUAGACGCCGGCCAACAUUCGCGAUGACGCAACAAGUUCAAGUUCACUUUUUGCACAGCGACAGGGCAGAAGACAAUAAAGGCAACUAGUACAAAUAUUUGUAGACUUCAAAAUAUAACUGUGUAACACCCUUUGGAUGGUAGGAAGACUUUUACAGAAACUUUCAUAAGAAACCUUAUUAUUGCAGUGACCAAAGAUGAAUAUUUGCAAGUUGGAAGCCAGCUCAUUGUCGACUGAUACUGUGCAAAACAGGGUGAAAUGUCUUGAAUCUGUGAUGAUCCCAGAUUGAGAUUCAACUUCUUGGUGUAGCUGUAAAGUAAUUCAGGAAAGAAGACUCAGCGCCCAUUUGCAUAAUUGAUCCAUUCGCAUAUAUGUGGUCUCAUAGAGAUACUCGAGCCCUGACCUUCAAGCUCGUAUAAAGCGAUGAGGUCGGCUGAGGCAGUGGUGUGGCGGUGGCUGGCGCUGGCAGCGGUGCUAGGGGGGGUUGGGGCGCAGUGCCCCUGGGGCCGCGAGAUAGCCGAGCUGCAGUCAUCGUGCAUCUGCGCCUACAACCUUGGCCAGAUGCUGUCCGUGCAGUGCGACAUGGUCGACUUCCCCGAGCUGCUCAAGGCCCUCGACGAGUACGCCAGCACGCUGCACAUCGACCUGCUCUACGUCAACAACAGCUCCGUCCAGGCCCUGCACGACGCCAUGUUCGCCAACCUCAAGCUCAACAACCUGCAGAUGUCUGGCUGCAAAAUCAGAACCGUCGGCAAGAGAGCGUUCCAAGGCUUGGAGCCUACACUCAGAAACCUCAACCUGCAAGACAACGAACUCGACCACAUUCCAAUCGAAAGUAUACAGACCCUCACCAACCUCAGCCUUCUGGACUUGUCCAGGAACAAAAUCACCAAAGUACCUGACGGCGCUUUCGCCUCGCUCAACAAUCUUUCAACGCUCAAACUAUCGGACAACAAUAUCACAAUAUCGACGGAUGCGUUUCGCGGCCUGGAAGGCUCGUUGAAGAACCUGAAUCUGAAGGGAACGCGACAGAAGGUGAUUCCGGAGGCGGUGCGCAACCUGCGCACUCUGGCCUUUCUGGACCUGGCGCAGAAUGGCCUGCGCGAGUUGCCAGGCCCCGCCGGCCGAGGCAUAUUCGACGGCCUCCACUCACUCACCGCCCUCAACCUCGAGAGGAAUGUCAUCCAGACUGUCACCGACGACACCUUCCAUGGCAUUCGGAAUACUCUCAGCUCUCUCAGUCUUCUCAACAACCUACUAACAGAUUUCCCGGUCGUGGCUGUCAGUGAGCUGUCUGAGUUGAGGGUACUUGACAUAGGCUUCAACCUGCUAACCGAGUUACCAAUAGACGCGUUCCAAGGGACGCCGUCGCUAACCCUGCUGGCCCUGGACGGCAACCCGCUGGCGAGCAUUCCAGCUGCAGCCUUGGCGCACCUCAACAGCACCCUGCGAGGCCUGAGCCUGGGGGGCCGCUUCCUGCACUGCGACUGCCGCCUGCGAUGGGUCGCCGAAUGGAUCCGCCACGGAGACCUCCAGGUCACCAGCCGCGAGCGCAACCCACAGUUCUGCGGCUCCCCACCUUCACUCAAGGAUAAGAGCUUCUACAAUAUGCUACCCGAAGAGUUGGUGUGUGAGAAUGAAAACAUGGGCGUAGCUUUGGUGGUGAACGACCAAGAUGACCUGCUGCAAACACAAGAGAUCGGCGUCGCGGUCGGCUACGUGGAUCCACACGUGGCCACGUCGCAGAAAACGUCGCCGUCAACCACGAGCAGCACAACAGAACUGACAACAACCACAUCGACCACCACCACCACCACAACAACGACAACAACACCCAGAACAACAGUGACAACGCAGUCGUCAACCUCACCGCAGAGAACAAUGAUGACCUAUCGAACCACGCCUUCUACAACCACUACAAGCACAACAACAACAACGACUCCAGCACCGCCGACAUCGCGCUUCGUUCCGACGACGCGUCGCAGCAACAUAAUCCUGCCGCGCACGACUUCCAACCCGUGGCCUCAGCAGCGUCCCCACAUGGCGAUGGCCUUCCCCAGCGCGGCGCGACCCGUGCAGGAAGUACUCGUCAGGUCAGCGCACCGCCUCGACAACUCGGUCAUCAUUCAGUGGGACUCGGAGACGGCCAACAUCCUCGGCUUCCGAGUCGUCUACCGCCUCUUCGGCGACAAAAGCUUCAAGCAGGGGCCGCCGCUUGAGGCUAGCGAGAGGGAGUUCAAAAUAAAGAACGUUCCGUCACAGGAGUGCAUAGUGGUGUGCGUGAUAUCGCUGGAGGAGAUGAACGUGACUCCGGAGUCGGUGCCCUACAGCCAGUGCCGCGAGGUGCGGACGGUGACGUCACCGACCAGCAACAUGGACAAGAUCACGAUAGCAGCGAGUGCCGCCAUCUGCGGCACGGUCGUGAUUGCGGUGAUCGUGUUCGUGGCGGCCAGCCGGCGGCGCUCCCGCAAGCUCCACACCCUGGGGGGGCACCACAAGGGAGGCCACCUGGGGGGGCUGGGGGCGCCUGUAGCCUGCUGCCCCGCCUCUUCACCCGGCCCCCUCUCCUCGCUCGCCACCCUCUCCGCCUUCACCACCCACAAGGACUGGGACCAGGUGUCCGUCUACAGCAACCGCAGCCUCGGCCGACCGCAGCCGCGCAUGUACCACAUGGAGCGACAAGGUCCUUCCUCUGACUUCUAUUAACCUCUUCUAAAGGUCUCUGCGAGCAGCCGGCUGCAUGGGUGACGAGCCGCGCACUCACAUCCCGCACUUCACCAGCAAGGCACCAGUCAAGGCACGCUCGAUCGCAGAUGGCCAGUCGCAGCACAGCUUCUCCAACAACUCUGGCCGCUACAUGGCCAACAACGCCUUCUCUUCCGGUUUAGUCAAUUCGAGGCCAGAGCUUCGCCAAUCGCGACAAUCGCUGGCCGUUUCAGAGCGACUGUCGCGCAUCAGUUACCCGACAGCAACAGCCGGCCACCAGAGGCCGCGACAGAGACCGCGAUCGCGCAAUCACGACACGGGAGGCGGCAGCACGCUGGGCGGGGGCGGUAGACCCGCCUCCCGCUACAGCACGCACGGCUCCACGCACACGCUCAACAACUACUGCGGCGACACAUCCGAUAACUGGACUGACCACGACAUGGACAUUUACAUGACCAGAAACCCCACUACGCGCAGCGGACUAGUGCCUUUGUGAUCGAAUGCAACCUCUAGUGAACUAAAUUGCCAACAUGUGUGAUUGUGUUUUAGUCGACCCUUUGCUGAACUCUUAUUAACGUCUCCAAUUACUACAUCUGGUGAAUUAAAUCGUCAACGAGUGUGAUCGUGUGAUUGUCGACCCUUUGCUGAACUCCAAUUAACUAAGUGCUGAAUAAAAUUAAUAGUAGUGCUUGAAGAGAGACUCAUGAUGAGAGGACAUGUGAAUUCAAUUUUUAAAUGAAAGUGCAAGUACAACUAGUUGAAUUUUAUUAAUGAUAGCAGGUGAACGUACAAGUAAAACUAGUUGAACAACUGAUGAUAGUGUGUCAACAUUCUAGUGAAACAGUAGUUGAAUAGGCUAAUAAUUACAAAUGAAACAAGAAUUCAACUAGAAGGAAAAAUUGUGAAUACUAUUUAUAUGACUGUUCUUCUAUGUUUCACGAGUGAGAAGAUAGGAUGCUAUAGCUUCUACCAUAAUUAUUAAUUUUAGUUUAAGGGAGAUCAACAGCUGCUCUCAACCAAUCAAUGCUCAAAUUUGUUAUUUACACUGGAAAAUGUGUUUUUCUGAACUGGUCCAGCAACGAUGAAAAUUAUACAUGAGCUGCAGCCAGGCUUCCAAAAAUACUAAGGUCUAGGGAAUAGGAAAUAAUAAUCAGACUCUACACUUUGGGGUACAGCUAGAAAAGGACUAUUACAUAGGUCUAUUACUGUAAUUUUAAAUUCUGAAACACAUAGAUUAGUCAAGAAAAUAUGUUUUAAAUAGCAGAAGCGUGAGGGAGGAAUAGAGUAGUGCGCAUGCGCUCUGUUUCUCUUUCAAUCUUUUCUACAUUAGCCGACAGGGCCACCAGACCUACUCCUGAUUAGCCAAACCUAUUCUCGAGACACAAAAAUAGGAUAGAUUCUGAUAUUCCAGUAUGAUAAUUAUACUCAGCGGGAACCAGUCCUAAUCCUUUACUCUCUUAGGAAAUUGAUAAUGAAUAAGUAGAAGAGAGAUUGUAACCAAUAUUUCAGCAAAAAACUACGCAUUGAUUUUUUUGCUCAAAUAAGGGUGUUCUUUCUAAAAAUACUUAUAGACACGAAGUUAAAUGAGUUCCACUUCAUUAAGUGCAGUAACUUUAAACUUUAGCAAUAUAAUUGAAUGUAAAUAUUUAAGUCUAAAAAUGUGUACAUAAAUUUAUUUAUAUAAAAAUUAAUCAAGUCAUUGCACAAAAGGAAUCAUACCUGCAUGUACAUAUAAAAAUAAGAUUAGUUGAGCAUUGUUGAUAAAAAGUCAAGUCAGAGUGUGAAUGCGUCUGCAAAUUACUUUGGAGCACAAAAUUUUGUUGCAAUUUUUCUUGGAAGUAUUGGAAGAAAUGUUAGAUAUUCUUGUUCAUACAUACCUUCACUGAAAAACAACGAUGGAAACUGUCGCAAUAGAAUACAAAUUUGA